GAUAAACGCUGGCGGCGUGCCUAAUACAUGCAAGUCGAGCGAACGGACGAGAAGCUUGCUUCUCUGAUGUUAGCGGCGGACGGGUGAGUAACACGUGGAUAACCUACCUAUAAGACUGGGAUAACUUCGGGAAACCGGAGCUAAUACCGGAUAAUAUUUUGAACCGCAUGGUUCAAAAGUGAAAGACGGUCUUGCUGUCACUUAUAGAUGGAUCCGCGCUGCAUUAGCUAGUUGGUGAGGUAACGGCUUACCAAGGCAACGAUGCAUAGCCGACCUGAGAGGGUGAUCGGCCACACUGGAACUGAGACACGGUCCAGACUCCUACGGGAGGCAGCAGUAGGGAAUCUUCCGCAAUGGGCGAAAGCCUGACGGAGCAACGCCGCGUGAGUGAUGAAGGUCUUCGGAUCGUAAAACUCUGUUAUUAGGGAAGAACAUAUGUGUAAGUAACUGUGCACAUCUUGACGGUACCUAAUCAGAAAGCCACGGCUAACUACGUGCCAGCAGCCGCGGUAAUACGUAGGUGGCAAGCGUUAUCCGGAAUUAUUGGGCGUAAAGCGCGCGUAGGCGGUUUUUUAAGUCUGAUGUGAAAGCCCACGGCUCAACCGUGGAGGGUCAUUGGAAACUGGAAAACUUGAGUGCAGAAGAGGAAAGUGGAAUUCCAUGUGUAGCGGUGAAAUGCGCAGAGAUAUGGAGGAACACCAGUGGCGAAGGCGACUUUCUGGUCUGUAACUGACGCUGAUGAGCGAAAGCGUGGGGAUCAAACAGGAUUAGAUACCCUGGUAGUCCACGCCGUAAACGAUGAGUGCUAAGUGUUAGGGGGUUUCCGCCCCUUAGUGCUGCAGCUAACGCAUUAAGCACUCCGCCUGAGGAGUACGACCGCAAGGUUGAAACUCAAAGGAAUUGACGGGGACCCGCACAAGCGGUGGAGCAUGUGGUUUAAUUCGAAGCAACGCGAAGAACCUUACCAAAUCUUGACAUCCUUUGACAACUCUAGAGAUAGAGCCUUCCCCUUCGGGGGACAAAGUGACAGGUGGUGCAUGGUUGUCGUCAGCUCGUGUCGUGAGAUGUUGGGUUAAGUCCCGCAACGAGCGCAACCCUUAAGCUUAGUUGCCAUCAUUAAGUUGGGCACUCUAAGUUGACUGCCGGUGACAAACCGGAGGAAGGUGGGGAUGACGUCAAAUCAUCAUGCCCCUUAUGAUUUGGGCUACACACGUGCUACAAUGGACAAUACAAAGGGCAGCGAAACCGCGAGGUCAAGCAAAUCCCAUAAAGUUGUUCUCAGUUCGGAUUGUAGUCUGCAACUCGACUACAUGAAGCUGGAAUCGCUAGUAAUCGUAGAUCAGCAUGCUACGGUGAAUACGUUCCCGGGUCU
RNAcentral lists this ribosomal RNA (1372 nucleotides) under uncultured bacterium. RNAcentral's name for it is "bacterial SSU rRNA". It matches the Rfam family "Bacterial small subunit ribosomal RNA", at positions 28 to 1381 of the family's 1533-position model. The record is from RNAcentral.